This 446-nucleotide ribosomal RNA is filed under the name uncultured bacterium. RNAcentral's name for it is "partial 16S ribosomal RNA". It matches the Rfam family "Bacterial small subunit ribosomal RNA", at positions 338 to 795 of the family's 1533-position model. The record is from RNAcentral.
CCUACGGGUGGCAGCAGUAGGGAAUUUUCGGCAAUGGGGGGAACCCUGACCGAGCAACGCCGCGUGAACGAAGAAGUUAUUCGUAAUGUAAAGUUCUUUUAACAGGGAAGAAAGAGCAAUUUGACGGUACCUGAAGAAUAAGCUCCGUCUAACUACGUGCCAGCAGCCGCGGUAAUACGUGGGGAGCGAGUGUUAUCCGGAUUUAUUGGGGUGAAAGGGUGCGUAGAUGGCAUUGAAAGUCUUUUGUAAAAUUGCUGGGCUAAAACCAGUAGGGCAAAAGAUACUGGAAAGCUAGAGUAUGACAGAGGCAAGUGGAACUACAUGUGUAGCGGUGAAAUGCGUAGAUAUAUGUAAGAACACCAGUGGCGAAGGCGGCUUGCUGGGUCGAUACUGACAUUGAGGCACGAAAGCGUGGGGAGCAAACAGGAUUAGAUACCCCUGUAGUC